UACAGAGGUCCCAAGCGUUGUUCGGAUUCACUGGGCGUAAAGGGUGCGUAGGCGGGCCUUUAAGUCAGGGGUGAAAUCCUGGAGCUCAACUCCAGAACUGCCUUUGAUACUGAAGAUCUUGAGUUCGGGAGAGGUGAGUGGAACUGCGAGUGUAGAGGUGAAAUUCGUAGAUAUUCGCAAGAACACCAGUGGCGAAGGCGGCUCACUGGCCCGAUACUGACGCUGAGGCACGAAAGCGUGGGGAGCAAACAGG
This 253-nucleotide ribosomal RNA is filed under the name uncultured bacterium. Its description in RNAcentral is "partial 16S ribosomal RNA". It matches the Rfam family "Bacterial small subunit ribosomal RNA", at positions 524 to 776 of the family's 1533-position model. The record is from RNAcentral.